GAUCCUGGCUCAGGAUGAACGCUAGCUACAGGCUUAACACAUGCAAGUCGAGGGGCAGCAUGGUCUUANCUUGCUAAGGCCGAUGGCGACCGGCGCACGGGUGAGUAACACGUAUCCAACCUGCCGUCUACUCUUGGGCAGCCUUCUGAAAGGAAGAUUAAUACAAGAUGGCAUCAUGAGUCCGCAUGUUCACAUGAUUAAAGGUAUUCCGGUAGACGAUGGGGA
RNAcentral lists this ribosomal RNA (225 nucleotides) under uncultured bacterium. Its description in RNAcentral is "partial 16S ribosomal RNA". It matches the Rfam family "Bacterial small subunit ribosomal RNA", at positions 15 to 231 of the family's 1533-position model. The record is from RNAcentral.